AAGAUCUCUGACUUUCUUGCUGUUUCAGCUUCCAUCCCCUGGGCCCUCAUUGAUUUUCUCCAUCGUUCCAACCGUGAGCGGGAGCCCCAUUAAUCACUGCUCUGCCCAUGAUGGACGGCAGGAACAGGAGUUAAAGCCAAAGGUCCCCAAGUCCACUUACAUUAUCAGGCCGACUAUGGGCUGACGAGAGCCCGAUGUUACCAGCCAAAGAUUUUCACUGUAAGAAUUAACAAAUAUCCCUGUGUGCUGUUACCUGAACAUCUACCUCUCUCUCAUUUUUCAUCUCUCUCUCUCUCUCUCUCUCUCUCUCUCUCUCUCUCUCUCUCUCUCUUUCU
Molecule: long non-coding RNA, 335 nt
Filed under: Phascolarctos cinereus (koala)
Lineage: Eukaryota; Metazoa; Chordata; Mammalia; Diprotodontia; Phascolarctidae
Description: lncRNA (ENSPCIG00000034667.1)
Source: RNAcentral